UACAGAGGGAGCGAGCGUUGUUCGGAAUUACUGGGCGUAAAGGGCGCGUAGGCGGUUCGAUAAGUCCCGUGUGAAAUCCCUCGGCUCAACUGAGGAAUGGCACGGGAAACUGACGGGCUUGAGUUCGGGAGAGGGAAGCGGAAUUCCGGGUGUAGCGGUGAAAUGCGUAGAGAUCCGGAAGAACACCAGUGGCGAAGGCGGCCCGCUGGGCAGUGGCUGACGCUGAGGCGCGACAGCGUGGGGAGCAAACAGG
RNAcentral lists this ribosomal RNA (253 nucleotides) under uncultured bacterium. RNAcentral describes it as "partial 16S ribosomal RNA". It matches the Rfam family "Bacterial small subunit ribosomal RNA", at positions 524 to 776 of the family's 1533-position model. The record is from RNAcentral.